UGGGGAAUCUUAGACAAUGGGGGAAACCCUGAUCUAGCCAUGCCGCGUGAGUGAUGAAGGCCUUAGGGUCGUAAAGCUCUUUCGCCAGGGAUGAUAAUGACAGUACCUGGUAAAGAAACCCCGGCUAACUCCGUGCCAGCAGCCGCGGUAAUACGGAGGGGGUUAGCGUUGUUCGGAAUUACUGGGCGUAAAGCGCGCGUAGGCGGAUUAUUAAGUCGGGGGUGAAAUCCCGGGGCUCAACCCCGGAACUGCCUCCGAUACUGGUAGUCUUGAGUUCGAGAGAGGUGAGUGGAAUUCCGAGUGUAGAGGUGAAAUUCGUAGAUAUUCGGAGGAACACCAGUGGCGAAGGCGGCUCACUGGCUCGAUACUGACGCUGAGGUGCGAAAGUGUGGGGAGCAAACAGGAUUAGAUACCCCCGUAGUCC
Molecule: ribosomal RNA, 424 nt
Filed under: uncultured prokaryote
Description: bacterial SSU rRNA
Rfam family: Bacterial small subunit ribosomal RNA
Source: RNAcentral